RNAcentral lists this ribosomal RNA (440 nucleotides) under uncultured bacterium. RNAcentral's name for it is "partial 16S ribosomal RNA". It matches the Rfam family "Bacterial small subunit ribosomal RNA", at positions 338 to 795 of the family's 1533-position model. The record is from RNAcentral.
CCUACGGGAGGCAGCAGUGGGGAAUAUUGCACAAUGGGGGAAACCCUGAUGCAGCGACGCCGCGUGAAGGAAGAAGUAUUUCGGUAUGUAAACUUCUAUCAGCAGGGAAGAAAAUGACGGUACCUGCCUAAGAAGCAGCGGCUAACGACGUGCCAGCAGCAGCGGUAAUACGUAGGGGGCAAGCGUUAUCCGGAUUUACUGGGUGUAAAGGGAGCGUAGGCGGUGCAGCAAGUCAGAAGUGAAAGCCCGGGGCUCAACUCCGCGACUGCUUUUGAAACUGUUGAACUAGAUUGCAGGAGAGGUGAGUGGAAUUCCUAGUGUAGCGGUGGAAUGCGUAGAUAUUAGGAGGAACACCAGCGGCGAAGGCGGCUUACUGGACUGUAAAUGACGCUGAGGCUCGAAAGCGUGGGGAGCAAACAGGAUUAGAUACCCGAGUAGUC